UCUUGGUCCCAAAAGCUCAAGAUUAUCACUCUCACAACUUGUCAUUGAGCAAAAUUCCAUCUCCCAAAAUUUCAAAUUUUUUUGGAAUUUAUUCAUAUUUUUUCUGAAUUUCUGAGUUUCAUGAGUCGACCCCCUUGAGUCGACCCUAUGGCAAACUUGUAAUUACUGCCAACUUCCCACGGGCUCUUUCUUUUUAAUUGGAAGCAUGUUCAUGAGCCGACUCAUCUCUUCAUCUUCCUCCCUCCAAGAACCAUCUUCCUCCCUCCAAGAACCAUCAUCCCCAUUCCCUUUCUCUCCAAAACCAAGGAUCUAGCUCAAGAUUGUUCUCCCUUCUUCUCUCCAUCACAAAUCACCGCCUGGGAAAGAAGAUUUUCUCAUCUUUCUCCCUUGAUUGAAACGGUUGGAGCAUGCCCUAGCCUCCACCGUUCUUCUCAAAACCACCUCUUCUCUCCGCCAAAAUCCCUCUCCAUUCUUUUGUAACCCUUCUUCCACUCAUCCACUUGAUCCUCCAAGUCUCUUUGCCUACUGCUGUGGUGAGAAUGGCUCCGAAGAUGAAGCUCCCUCAGAGAAGAAAGUCGAUCCGUGAGCUAGAAGAAAAUGUCCGCAGAAAAAGGUAAGCUGCUCAGUCCUCCACUGCUCCCACUCCGGCUUCUGUGUCAGCUCAAGGUCCCUCUCAAUCUUCCCUUAGCCCCAGUA
This 696-nucleotide long non-coding RNA is filed under the name Elaeis guineensis (African oil palm). RNAcentral describes it as "long non-coding RNA (EGUI_LNC049904)". The record is from RNAcentral. Lineage: Eukaryota; Viridiplantae; Streptophyta; Magnoliopsida; Arecales; Arecaceae.